GACGAACGCUGGCGGCGUGCUUAACACAUGCAAGUCGAACGGUGAAGCGCCUUCUUUUUUGGUGGGUGUGGAUGAGUGGCGAACGGGUGAGUAACACGUGAGUAACCUGCCCCCUUCUUCUGGAUAACCGCAUGAAAGUGUGGCUAAUACGGGAUAUUCUGGGUCUGUCGCAUGAUGGGUCUGGGAAAGAUAUUGUUUCGGUGGGGGAUGGGCUCGCGGCCUAUCCGCUUGUUGGUGGGGUGAUGGCCUACCAAGGCGGUGACGGGUAGCCGGCCUGAGAGGGUGGACGGUCACACUGGGACUGAGACACGGCCCAGACUGCUACGGGAGGCAGCAGUGGGGAAUAUUGCACAAUGGGCGCAAGCCUGAUGCAGCGACGGCGCGUGAGGGAUGGAGGCCUUCGGGUUGUGAACCUCUUUCGCCAGUGAAGCAGGCCUGCCUCGUUUGUGGGUGGGUUGACGGUAGCUGGAUAAGAAGCGCCGGCUAACUACGUG
This 494-nucleotide ribosomal RNA is filed under the name uncultured bacterium. RNAcentral's name for it is "partial 16S ribosomal RNA". It matches the Rfam family "Bacterial small subunit ribosomal RNA", at positions 28 to 507 of the family's 1533-position model. The record is from RNAcentral.